AGAUAAAUGUCCGCUGUACUGUGGAUACUGUCAAGCCCAAGGAACGUCAACGUCAGUGGCUCCUGUAACCACAACAACACAAGUUAGCACACCUGCCAUUAUUACUCAAGGUAU
This is a long non-coding RNA of Saccostrea cuccullata (small rock oyster), 114 nucleotides long. RefSeq lists it as uncharacterized. The transcript has 3 exons. NCBI's taxonomy places the organism in Eukaryota, Metazoa, Mollusca, Bivalvia, Ostreida, Ostreidae. The record is from RefSeq and is a predicted model, not a curated record.